RNAcentral lists this ribosomal RNA (640 nucleotides) under uncultured marine eukaryote. RNAcentral's name for it is "bacterial SSU rRNA". It matches the Rfam family "Eukaryotic small subunit ribosomal RNA", at positions 653 to 1220 of the family's 1831-position model. The record is from RNAcentral.
UAUGAACGGUGGUAAUGGUGCCCUGCGAGUAAGCUUCUUCAUUGAGGCCAAAAGCGAUUACGUGUUAACCAUACGCAUACGGGUCGACCACCGAAGUUACUGUGAACAAAUCAGUGUGUUCAAAGCAGGCGUUUGCCUUGAAUGAUAAAGCAUGGAAUAACAAGGGAUCGAUUCUCUCGAGUCUUUUUGUUGGUUUUUAACCCGAGAAGGAACAAUUCAAGCUGUGGACUUUUAUAGCGUCGUUCGCGGCACUAUUCAUAAGGCCAUGGCCCAGCGGGAUCAAUAGGGACUGCCGGGGUCGUACGUACUCCCACGUCAGAGGUGAAAUUCUUAGAUCGUGGGAAGACGAACUUCUGCGAAAGCAUUCGACAAGAAUGUCUUCAUUAAUCAAGAACGAGAGUGUGGGGAUCGAAGAUGAUCAGAUACCGUCGUAGUCCACUACUGUAAACGAUGCCGUCUCAGGAUCGAGAGAUGUUUCACUUAUGGCUCUCACGGCACUAACCCCUGAAAUGAGAAAUCAAAGAUUAUGGGUUCAGGGGGGAGUACAUUCGCAAGGCUGAAACUUAAAGGAAUUGACGGAAUGACACCACCAGGCGUGGAGUAUGCGGCUUAAUUUGACUCAACACGGGGAAUUUUACUA